RNAcentral lists this small RNA (75 nucleotides) under Xanthomonas arboricola pv. arracaciae. Its description in RNAcentral is "sX9 sRNA". It matches the Rfam family "Xanthomonas sRNA sX9". Lineage: Bacteria; Pseudomonadati; Pseudomonadota; Gammaproteobacteria; Lysobacterales; Lysobacteraceae. The record is from RNAcentral.
ACGUGCUACUCGUCCACGUCGGUUCCUACGCGCCGGCCGCACCCACCUACGACUGCGCGCUACGGUUUCUUAGCC